AUGCGCUGUUCCCCCCCGGCGGCGGCGCGGAUGGUGCGGCCCGGCCGGCGCGUCCCGUUGCCGGGCGCGGCGGUGCCGCCAUGGCCGGAGCGGGGCCGGCGCUGCCGGAUUCAGGAAGACUUUCAGAAGUUUACAAUGGAAAAAACCAACUUGAAAGGAAAUGCAGAAGCUGUGGAUAUUUGUGACCUCAGAAAAGCAACUGAAAGGACUGAACUUGGGCUGAGACAGCAGGUGGAAAUGGAUUUUAAAAUUAUGCUUGAUGCAGAGAAGGUGGAUAUUAAAGCUGGUUUAAAACAUCCCAAUGAUGAGACCAGGCUGCCACUUAUAGCUAAGAGAAAAUCUGCUCCUGUGGGCAGUCAGAAGACAGGGAAGGAUCCCACAGCCACCAGCCCUUGGGCUUUGCCUGCCUUUCUCUCCCUGGGCUCUCCCUUACCCCUGCUAGAAGAGGACAGCCCAAAAGGUGCCCUGAGCCUCACUGGGCAAAGGCUCAUCCUCCCAGGAGCACUGAGAACUCUGCCAGCCCCUCCUGCUGUGCCCAGAGCAGCUCCUUUCCCUGAAUUCCCCAGGCAGCACAAGAAAUCAGCUCUAGGAGAGAUCGGUAGCAGGCUGGACCCUGAGAACACAGGCACCAUCACCUUCCCAAAGGCAAAGGAAGCCAUUUAUGGCCCAUACUCCUCUAGUAAAGGGAGCAUUGCACCGCUCCCACCCAGCAAUUCCGUGCUUUCAACGAGGAAACCAAAGCCAGAGUGGAGGUGUCCAGCUGAGCAGUUGGAAUCUGCGGUGCACGUUCCCCCUCAGACACAGCCCCCACAAACAGCUCAACCCUUCCAGGAUCCCUGCUUGGACUGGGACACUGCUGUUCACCAGAAAGCUCCAGGUGUUCUGGCUCUCCAACACCCCCAUCAUUCCUCUUGGGGGAGCAUUGUGGGGUUUGUGGAACCCACAGAAAAGCUCCUCAAAGACCACUCUGUCCCCCUGGCCACCAUCAGCGGCCAAAAGUUGGCACAAAUCACCUCGGACUUGGAUUUUAAAGUUAAUCCCACCAAAAGUGACGCUUUGUCAGUGCUGAAGAGUCAUUCGGCUGUGGAGAAGAUCCUAAACCCAGCUGGCCGGAGCUGCAGAGGCCGGGGGGGCAGCGCAGGGGCUGCUGCAGGGAGGCAGAGGGGGGGUCCCAGCCCCGUGGCAGGCUCGGGCCAGCAGCAGCAGUGGGCAGCAGGUGUGAUCAGCACUUCCUGGCGCUCCCGGAGUCACCUGGCACGGCUGAGGAACGGCCUGAGGGAAGCGCGCCGCAGACACCUGGAGAAUUUCUACAGCAGGGCCAAGCAUCUGGCAGCCAACUGGAAUCGCAUCAGGACCUCCAGGAGGACUAUUAUCCAUAUCCCAUCAUUAGGGUAUUCCCAGCACAUCCGUGAGCACAUCCCUGACCUUGCUCUCCAGCAGAACCUGCAGAUGGGGAGGCUCUGUGACAUCCUGGAUGCCAACGUGGACGUCAUCUACAUCUGCCCCCUUGCUCUGAGUGAGGAGUUACUGCAGUAUUACAAUAAACUCCUGGGUCUGCAGGCAGCUGUUAGAUCUGGGAACCCCGAGGACAUGGCUGACCUGCAGGACAGGUUCAAAAUUCUCACCCCUGAAGCUAUAAACAGCUUCCCUGAGCACCACAUGUGCCUGGCCACUGUGCUCAAGUACAGCCCCAGGACGAUGCAGAGGCUGCAGGUUCUGCUCCAGGGCAGGGAUGCCUACAUGGUGGGAGGUGUUCCCCACCUGGAUGAUUUGGCUGUGGCCGACCAGCUCCAGGUGCCACUUUUGGGCUCAGAGCCAGCAGUGGCUCAGCUCUACAGCACCAAGUCUGGCAGCAAGAGAAUCUUUGCCAGUGCUGGAGUGCCAACCCCUCCUGGAGAGUGGGACAUCCGCAGCAGGGAGCAGCUGCUCCGUGCCCUCAGCCAGCUCAUCCUGGACAACUUGGAGGUGCAGCGCUGGCUCUUCAAGGUGGAUGAUGAGCAUGGAGGAGAUGGCACUGCCUUCUGUGAUGUCACUUCCCACCUGGAAUGCUACCCCUGGAUCCAGAGGGAAUGGCAGGGACACGGCCCCGAGGUGUGGAGUGAGAGCCAGGCUCGUGAGCUAGCUUUGGUGAAGAUCUCCCAGGAGCUGCCGGGCCUUUUAGCACAGCACGUACAGCCAGUCAAUGAGAAACGAUUCCCUACAUGGGAAAAAUUCCUCCAAACAUUUCUUACUCAAGGUGGGGUGAUCGAAGCCUUCCCGUCCUCGGGCAGCGUCACCAACCUGACGGUGGAUCUGCUGAUAGAGCCAACGGGGGAGGUGACGCUGCUGUCAUCUGGAGAUCAGCUCCACGCUGAGGGGCCCCUCAGGUCCUCUGGCACCACCAUCCCACAGCGUUCCGUGGACCCUGAGGUUCUCAAAGCUCUCUGCCUGAAAAUUGGGGAGGCCUGUAAAUCCAAAGGAGUGCUUGGCUACUUCUCCGUGGACUUCGUGGCUUUCACCCAUCCCCAAACAGGGGAGCAGCAGGUGUGGGCAACAGACCUUGACCUUUGCUACAGUGACCAGCUGGCCCUGAGUCAGCUCCUGGUGUACCUGACAGAUGGGAAUCUGGAUUGUGGCUCCAGCAUCCUGCAAGCACCUCUGGGAGCAAAGGAAAGCAAAGGCCAACGGCUUCAGCACGAGGGGACAAAACCUCCUGCCCCCAGCAGCCCCUGGUGUGCCGUGGCCAGCAGCCAGCUGAGGCAUUCCAGCCUCUCAGGGAUCUCCUACAACCUCCUCCUCCACAUCUGCAAAGCUCAUGGGAUUGGAUUUGACCUCCAGGAAAAACAGGGAACAGUUUUUGUGUUGUAUGAAGACCAGAAGCGGCACAGCCUGGGAAUGAUAACAAUCGGAGAGGAUCUCCAGGGGGUCCUCCUGACCUUUGCUCGCAAUCUCUUCAUCAUCCAUCAAGAAAUAUCAGCACCUAAUAUGCAAGGCGAGACCAAUUUUAAGAUGGCAAUUCGAGAUAUUGAAGCAAUUCUAGGAGUUACAGCAGGAAACAAACUGAGAUUGGAAGAAGAGCAACCUUGGGAAGCAGAUGCUCUGAAAGAAUAGUUAACAGAAAAUGUUCAAGUGCCUCAUUCCUUAUGCUUCUGGAAAUGCUUCCUCAUCUGAAACAAGUGACCUGAAAGUUCCCGUGGUGAGAGAGAUUUCACAGCGUGUGCAAAGUGUGAAAUGUGUUUUGAGGGGGGGAAAAAAGUUUUUAAUUACUACUAACACUUCUGAGCCUUGAGCUGAUGGAAGGAUUGAAAACUGCUCUGCAGUCUCUCACAUUCAGCUCCCAUGCUGCUGGUGCCAAAAAUGUGGUUUUUUAGCAACGCUGAAGAUUUCAAAUGGAAUUAUAAUAUUGUUAAAAAGUCAGGAAUAUAAUUCUGUUCACACUACUGGAUUAUUUAUUCCCACUCAUUAGAAGAGUAAUAGAGUUGUUGAACCGUAGAUUGAAUUUCAGAACAUGAGAUGGACGGAAAGAAAACAGAACAAGUGUGAAGCAAAAGAUUAAAGGUGGCCCAAGUGUGGCUUCUCAUCAGAAACUGCCCCCAAAAAUGCCAGAUUUGGGCAAAAGCUGGAGCUGGCUCCUCAGCUGCAGGGAGUGGAGGAAUGCCUGUGGAAGCAGGUGAGGGCCAGCAGGUUUGGCAGCAACUGCAGAGGAUGCAGACAAUUAAAAUAAAGGAUGUGUGCUCCCAGGAGUCAGAGCUGGAAAUGGAGAUGUUUGUUUAACUGGCAGCACUUGGUGGGUUUUGUUUCAGCCAGGAUUCAGUGCAGCACAGACCAGGUCAUUCUCCUGAAAGAGCUACCUGGAGUUGAUGAGACUCCAGGAAACUGGGUCUCCUGUUUUAGGUAGUUGGGUUUAAAGCCCCAGGUAAAAGAAAUAAAAAAAGCUUUUAGCCCACAUUUCCACAUUUAGAAUGACAACUCUGAGCACUGAGCAAAAGAAAAAAAAGCAGUCUAUCAAUACAACCAGUUCCAGAUGUCUUCUGAAAUGAAAUGUUCACCCUCCCUCUUUCCUGGAAGAUCUCCAGUACCUCAAGAUCAGGAGAAUUCACCAACUUCCCUCUAGGUUAAGGUAACAAAUCCCUGGAUUUUUAAGGCUAUCCUUAAAAGUUCAUAUCAAAUCCAUUUAACGAUGGGAUACUGUAGCUCUGAGGCACCCCCUGUUGCAUUGUAGAGAUCCCCUGUAUUUCAUUUUAGACUGCAGAUUUUGUUACAUUGAUGAAGAAAGAACAAAAGAUUAAGAACUACAAUCAUUGACAACCUUCAUUAAUGUAAUUAAUGAAAUACAACAGCAUCGUAUCUAUCACUCUGAGGUUCAAUACUUUAUUUCAACCCUUCAGCACAGUACCACAUUCCAACUUUUCUAUCCUCAGCCACUACUAAAGAAAGAUAUUAAACUAUAUGCUCUAUUAAUUACAGGGAGGUGAACGUGAAGGGGAAAUUUGUUGCUGGUGAUGAUUAAUAAUUACUUGUUCUACACACAUGUAGUACAGGAAAUAAACAGGGCAUAUUGCUGGGUAGUAAUUGAUUAAUUAGCAUGUUCAUAGUGGAUAGAACGUUAAAUGGUUCAAAACCUUAGCUUUUACUUAGAAAAAUGGAACGUAGGCUGUGAUUUUAAAGUAUUUCUUUGAAGGGGUCUGACACUUGAAGGUUUUUAGGGAGGUCUGCCAGGUAAACCCAGUGCAGCUGGAUACUCUCCUGAGCACAGGUGAGCCUGGGUGGUGCUGCAGGUGUUCCCUCAGCAGGUCAGUGCCAACAAAACCUUUCUAAAAACACAACUGUCCAUUUUUUGGUGAUGCUCCCACUCCUCCUCGCUCGGUGCAGGGCUCAGGGUGACCCGUGCCCUCAGCAUUGGCAGCUCCAGCACAGCCUGGGUGUGUCGGUCACAGAGUCCCAGGAUUGCUGAGGCUGGAAAAGCCCUCCAAGGUCACCCAGACCCAGCUGUGCCCGAUCCCCACCCUGUCCCCAGC
Molecule: RNA transcript, 4997 nt
Organism: Motacilla alba alba
Lineage: Eukaryota; Metazoa; Chordata; Aves; Passeriformes; Motacillidae
Gene: IQCH
Gene name: IQ motif containing H
Exons: 20
Source: RefSeq, a predicted model, not a curated record